Molecule: ribosomal RNA, 380 nt
Filed under: uncultured eukaryote
Lineage: Eukaryota
Description: partial 18S ribosomal RNA
Rfam family: Eukaryotic small subunit ribosomal RNA
Source: RNAcentral
CAAUAGCGUAUAUUAAAGUUGUUGCAGUUAGAACGCUCGUAGUCGGAUUUCGGGGCGUUCCGACCGGUCUGCCGAUGGGUAUGCACUGGCCGGAGUGUCCUUUUUGCCGGAGACCGUGCCUACUCUUAACUGAGCGGGGGCGGGAGCCGGCACUUUUACUUUGAAAAAAUCAGAGUGUUUCAAGCAGGCAGCUCGCUCUUGCAUGGAUUAGCAUGGGAUAAUGAAAUAGGACUUUGGUGCUAUUUUGUUGGUUUCGAACACCGAAGUAAUGAUGAGAAGGGACAGUCAGGGGCACUCGUAUUCCGCAGAGAGAGGUGAAAUUCUCAGACCCGCGGAAGACGAACCACUGCGAAAGCAUUUGCCAGGGAUGUUUUCACUGA